CGGGAAGUAGUUCAGUCCGGUAGAAUGCCUGGUUUGGGACCAGGUGGUCGCAGGUUCGAAUCCUGUCUUCCCGACCA
Molecule: transfer RNA, 77 nt
Filed under: Bacteroidales bacterium
Lineage: Bacteria; Pseudomonadati; Bacteroidota; Bacteroidia; Bacteroidales
Also listed under: 1 other name
Description: tRNA-Pro
Rfam family: tRNA
About the family: Transfer RNA (tRNA) molecules are approximately 80 nucleotides in length. Their secondary structure includes four short double-helical elements and three loops (D, anti-codon, and T loops). Further hydrogen bonds mediate the characteristic L-shaped molecular structure. tRNAs have two regions of fundamental functional importance: the anti-codon, which is responsible for specific mRNA codon recognition, and the 3' end, to which the tRNAs corresponding amino acid is attached (by aminoacyl-tRNA synthetases). tRNAs cope with the degeneracy of the genetic code in two manners: having more than one tRNA (with a specific anti-codon) for a particular amino acid; and 'wobble' base-pairing, i.e. permitting non-standard base-pairing at the 3rd anti-codon position.
Source: RNAcentral